GGGAUGACACAGUAGGAUAAGCUAAGCACACUGUUGGUUAUGUGUGCCCAAGCAUUGAGGCAGUCAAAGUAGGCAAAUCCGCUUUGAUAAUGCUGGGAUGUGAUGGGGAGCGAAAUUUAGUAGCGAAGUAGCUGAUUUCACACUGUCAAGAAAAGUCUCUAUCGAGGUUAAAGGUACCCGUACCGCAAACCGACACAGGUGGGUGAGGAGAGUAUCCUAAGGCCAGCGAGAGAACUGUUGUUAAGGAACUCGGCAAAAUGACCCCGUAACUUAGGGAUAAGGGGUGCCACCAUCAGGUGGCCGCAGAGAAUAGGCCCAAGCGACUGUUUACCAAAAACAUAGGUUUCUGCUAAGUCGCAAGACGAUGUAUAGGAGCUGACGCCUGCCCGGUGCUGGAAGGUUAAGGGGAUCUGUUAGAGCAAUCGAAGCAGUGAACUUAAGCCCCAGUAAACGGCGGCCGUAACUAUAACGGUCCUAAGGUAGCGAAAUUCCUUGUCGGGUAAGUUCCGACCCGCACGAAAGGCGUAACGAUUUGGGCACUGUC
This 544-nucleotide ribosomal RNA is filed under the name Clostridioides difficile. RNAcentral describes it as "bacterial LSU rRNA". It matches the Rfam family "Bacterial large subunit ribosomal RNA", at positions 1466 to 2020 of the family's 2925-position model. The record is from RNAcentral. Lineage: Bacteria; Bacillati; Bacillota; Clostridia; Peptostreptococcales; Peptostreptococcaceae.